Long non-coding RNA from Etheostoma cragini (Arkansas darter), 111 nucleotides. RefSeq lists it as uncharacterized. The transcript is spliced from 3 exons. The record is from RefSeq and is a predicted model, not a curated record. NCBI's taxonomy places the organism in Eukaryota, Metazoa, Chordata, Actinopteri, Perciformes, Percidae.
AUAUUUUAAGUUCCGUUAAAGAGUGUGUAGGUGGGGUCACAAUUGAGCAUUUAAAAAUGUACGUGAAAGUAACGCAAUAGUUACUUUCUAAAAUAACCAGCUACUUUCAUA